Odontomachus brunneus is the source of this 313-nucleotide long non-coding RNA. RefSeq lists it as uncharacterized. The transcript has 2 exons. The record is from RefSeq and is a predicted model, not a curated record. NCBI's taxonomy places the organism in Eukaryota, Metazoa, Arthropoda, Insecta, Hymenoptera, Formicidae.
AUCGGCGCGUCUGAAAUACACAAUUGUACUUUAAUGGUGAAAAAUUGGCGCCAACAUAUUAAAUUAUUUUUGUUAGCAGAUCCAAAAACUAGAGGUCAUUAAAUAAAGCUCGUUAACAAAGGUUGGCAGACAUCACGGCAUCGAAUGUAAGACAGUAAUAACAACUAUAAUGCUGUUACCUCGCUUAUUGGCUACAUCCUUUCGUAGAAUCUAUUUGUAUCAUAUUACAGAUAUUAUUUACUUUGUACUCUAGAGAUUUACUCUGUAUCAUUGUUACCAUGUACAUUAAUAUAAUUAUAUAAUUUAUAAUGUA